CACGAAAGUUUCUCUGUCUUAAAAAAAUACUUAAUGAAAUUGAAUUUGUAGUGAAGAUGCUGCAUUAAAAUUGUAAGACGAGAAGUCCCCAUGGAGCUUUACUGAAGGCUUAAGAUUUUCUAUAAGCGGGACAGUUUUGUUGGGGCGACAGUUUUUUAAAAAGUAACAAAAACGAACUAUGGCGUAGCUUCACCCCGAAAAGUUUUUUAGGGGACAUUCUUGGUGUGUUUUAUGAUCCGUUGUUUGGAAAGAAAAAAAUAACGAAAACAGAUAAAAGUUACCCUGGGGAA
RNAcentral lists this ribosomal RNA (290 nucleotides) under Trochocyathus efateensis. RNAcentral's name for it is "partial 16S ribosomal RNA". It matches the Rfam family "Bacterial large subunit ribosomal RNA", at positions 2003 to 2475 of the family's 2925-position model. Lineage: Eukaryota; Metazoa; Cnidaria; Anthozoa; Scleractinia; Caryophylliidae. The record is from RNAcentral.